Molecule: ribosomal RNA, 257 nt
Filed under: uncultured bacterium
Lineage: Bacteria
Description: partial 16S ribosomal RNA
Rfam family: Bacterial small subunit ribosomal RNA
Source: RNAcentral
UACGAAGGGGGGCUAGCGUUGCUCGGAAUCACUGGGCGUAAAGGGUGCGUAGGCGGGUCUUUUAAGUCAGGGGGUGAAAUCCUGGAGCUCAACUCCAGAACUGCCUUUGAUACUGAGGAUCUUGAGUUCGGGAGAGGUGAGUGGAACUGCGAGUGUAGAGGUGAAAUUCGUAGAUAUUCGCAAGAACACCAGUGGCGAAGGCGGCUCACUGGCCCGAUACUGACGCUGAGGCACGAAAGCGUGGGGAGCAAACAGGG